RNAcentral lists this ribosomal RNA (274 nucleotides) under uncultured bacterium. RNAcentral describes it as "partial 16S ribosomal RNA". It matches the Rfam family "Bacterial small subunit ribosomal RNA", at positions 523 to 796 of the family's 1533-position model. The record is from RNAcentral.
AUACGGAGGAUCCAAGCGUUAUCCGGAAUCAUUGGGUUUAAAGGGUUCGUAGGCGGGUUUAUAAGUCAGUGGUGAAAGUUUGCGGCUCAACCGUAAAAUUGCCAUUGAUACUGUAGAUCUUGAAUUAGUGUGAAGUGAUUAGAAUAAGUAGUGUAGCGGUGAAAUGCAUAGAUAUUACUUAGAAUACCAAUUGCGAAGGCAGGUCACUAACACUAUAUUGACGCUGAGGGACGAAAGCGUGGGGAGCGAACAGGAUUAGAAACCCCAGUAGUCC